AAUUAAAGAAAUUAAAAAUACAAAUUUGAAAAUAAAAAUUUUUAAUUUAAGAAAUAAUCAAGAAAGAGGGAUGCCAAGCGGAUUCUAAAUUACGAUUUUUGAACAUAAAAGUGGCUAUAACUCGGAAACGGCUCAUUUCCGGACUUAUGUUUGUAUGAACUUUUUUGCUUGUUUUUGGGUCCCGAAUCACCUCCCGAAGUGGAGUAGGCGAUUUUUCGGACACCCUGUAUAUUAGUAAGCCAUAUUAUCAAUCAUAUUACCAGUAUUUACUUUUUAAUGCUUAUAGAUGAUUUUAGCUACGGAUAUACACAUCUAAAAAAUUUUAUCUCAUUACCAUUUAUGAUAAUAAUCUAAAAAAUAGGACUUUAUGAAGUAUUCACAAAAAGGCCUUUCGACAAUUUUCAAAAAAAGACUUGUAGACUUUUUACAAAUCUGCAAAUGUGAAGUAUUGAUUUAAAUUUCCUUAUCUAUCGCUGUGUAUAAAUAAAGAUUUUACUUUCAUGUCGCAUAUACAUAUGUUGAUAUGUAUAUACACAUGAAUAAAGCAUUGGUAGAACAAAUAUUGUUUAUUAUAUUACUUUGUUGUCAACUUAUGUUACGAUAUCUCGAGGAACACGUCGAAAGACAGGAGCACGUGAUGAGGCUUCAUCCACCGGGAAGUAACACGCCUUAUAACGGAACACGCCUGUCCAAGUUUCUGACCUUCGACAAAGAUUUACCGCAUGCACGAGAGAAGAAUCAGGUGUAGAGGAGAACGGCUGCGUCCAAGGACGACGGGGGGCCUUGUGUUAACGCAAUGUUCGCGCGACGAACGCGUUAAUUAUGUUAUCAAUCUUACAUGUCGGGAAUGCAACUAAGGACGAAGUCGCCGAGUUCCUGUAAUCCAAUUAACAAGAAUUGUGACCCAGUUUCGGCCGGGCCGGACCCGCUGCUGAUCGCUCGCUCAUGUUACCAUUUACUUGUGAUACUUGUGUUAAACGAUUUAACGUUCCUAUUCGGCUUAACGCAAGUGCGAACCUUCUUCACGCAAAUGCAGUGAAAUUGUUUUUGUAACAUACGUAAAAAAAAUCACUUUAUUGCUUAGUUACAUAUAUAGAUAAAGAAAAGGAAAUAAUAUAUUUAAGGAAAUAUUUCUCUAUAUUUAUACAUUAAAUUAUUACCCACAGUUAGCACUUGAGAAAUGUAUAAUAUCCAAUGUUAUGACAAUAUGUA
Vollenhovia emeryi is the source of this 1212-nucleotide long non-coding RNA. RefSeq lists it as uncharacterized. NCBI's taxonomy places the organism in Eukaryota, Metazoa, Arthropoda, Insecta, Hymenoptera, Formicidae. The record is from RefSeq and is a predicted model, not a curated record. The transcript has 2 exons.